CUGUUCACAGAUGUGCUUGUUAUGCUUGAUCAUCUGUUGAUGUGCAGUUGUUAAAACACAUAAUUUCUGUUUUGCUCCCCAGGGGAAAAUGUCAAAGAAUUCUUUUCCCGAGUUGCUGCCUUGGCCUUUGAACAGUCCAUGAUAAAAGAGCUGGAGAACACUCCUGGGCACAUGGCCCAAAUUGGGGCAGGAAAUCUCAUCAACCUGGAGAACAUUAUGGAAAUCCCAGAAGGCAACGCUCAAGUCAGCCCGAGUUGCUGCUAAUUGUCAACUGUUCCUUCAGGCCCCGCGCUUCUCUGCGCACAGAGCAGAGCACCUGCAGCAGUGCAAGCUCUCAGGCCAGAAACAGAGAGCUUUAAUUUGGGAAACAAGGGAGGAAAAACUUAGCCAAACUUCCCUUCUGAGAGUUCCCUUGCUGCUGCAGGCUCCUUGUGCAGGGUGGUACAAUUGUUACAUAAACCUUCCUCUGGGUAGUUGAAACACAACAUCCUUAAUGCAAGGAGACAUUGCCAGUGCCAUGUGCUCACCUGUCUGCCAGAAAUGCUUGUAGUCAAAAAUGAUGUCAUUUUAGUGUGUUGUUCUUUGAUAAUUCUCUAGAAAUCUUAGAUAGUGAGGUUGCAUUCCCAUGGGGGCAGGAAACAAGUGGCAGUUCAGAGUAAAGGGUGCUAUCCAUAAGUUUUUCCCUUUUAAAGUCAUAGCAUAAAAUAACUCUGAUCUGCUUUUGUGCAUUCCAAGUAUUUUGGAACUAUUCCAGUAAAAAUCUUUUUAAGUAUCAGGUAUGGAUACACAAAUGCAGACUGCAUAGUUUCCACUGUGGUUUCUCCAUCCAGGAAAAAAUCUGUAUUAUUUUUCAUUUUCCACUUGAGAAUCAGAGCCCAGUAUUUAAGUAUUUCCAAGCCUAGAAGUCCAGGUAGGAACUUUGUUGUUUUAUCCCAUCUGUCUAAUAUUUUGAAAAUGUUACCAGAUAAGAAUGCUAUUCUUUUCCACUCACUUGAAUAAGAAAGAA
RNAcentral lists this long non-coding RNA (1006 nucleotides) under Lepidothrix coronata (blue-crowned manakin). RNAcentral's name for it is "lncRNA (ENSLCOG00000014223.1)". Lineage: Eukaryota; Metazoa; Chordata; Aves; Passeriformes; Pipridae. The record is from RNAcentral.